UUGGGAUUUUUCUUUGUUUUGUACCAAAAUGAUAUUUUUUAGGUUCCGGAGCAUUUUUUUACGAAACUCAAGCUCGGGUAUUUGGAAAUGGAAACCUAUAGCGUCAUGCUUUGCAGAAUUCUUCAAAUGGGCCUAAAUUUAGACAUGGGCCUCCUUUGUAUCCUCGCGAAUCAUGUUCCUCGAUCCAUGAAACUUUUUCGGCGCCAAAAUUAAUACAGGCACCUUCAAUGUACCGAGCGGACUCCGAGUCACAAUUUUUCUUGUGUAGAAUUCGGAGACAUGGUUCAAAUUUUUAUUUUGGGCAUCAAACCAGGCACCCAUCAGAAAACUUCUCAGAGGCCCAAAUUUCUUGGAGGUCCCAAAACUAACAAGGACACCCAGCUACAAUUUUUUUUUUUCCUUUCAAUCCUCCUUUUCUUCUCUUUUUUUGUUGCUUCGUCAGUUCGUUCGAUCCCAAACCGAGUAGAACAUGAGCUCGAUACUGAUCUUCUGCGAGUCUGAAUUGGAGAUGGAUUUGUGGACACAAUCUGACUGGAAGGAAUUGAAAUUGGGGGUUGGAAUAGAACCCGUGUGGAAGACGAGGUCGUGGCCGGCUUCACAGGAGCAGAAAUUCCUCUCUCACUUUGGCUCUUAUCUAGCUCCUCCAGAGACUUCUUUAAUCUGUGGGUACAAAACAAGUACAGGAGCUGUGGUGUCAUAAAUUCCAGAGUUCCAGACUUUUGAUUUCAACGGUAUAAAAGGCAAAGACAACAAUUGCAGUCAAGACUCCAGAGUUUCAAUUCGAGGGUGAGUCUGACUAUUUAGACUUUGUUUAUUUUUAUUUUUUUUCGUGUGUUAUCUGAGUUGGUGCUUUUGGGAAGAAAGCAUGAAAUUUGGGGACAAGUUAUAUGGUAUGGUGGUUUGAAAAAGAGACGAGGAAGGGAGAUUGUUCGUGUUGGUGUUUCAAAGGCAGGCCCUUUUCAAUUUGACAUGGUGAUAGGAGGGACUUUUCUGUUUAUAGAACAUCGGAGACGCUGCUCCGAUAUAUUCAUCGAGACGCUGCCCGGCAUGAGUUCAUCGGGACGCUGCCUGGCAUGUUCGCGUGUUCAUCGGAGACGCUGCUCCGGCAUGUUUUCUUUUUUGCAGCAUCGUUAAGCAACCUGUGAACACAAAAAAAGUGGAGAUCAUGGUAGGAGGGAGUCCCAACCUUUGUGGUGAACUUCACACUGUUGGAUUCUUCUUGCCUGCAGCAGGGUCUCGGCUAUCUUCUCAUCUUUCUCUGUGUGUCCUCCGCGUCACUAUUGCUAGCUUUAUAUAGUGGACUGGUGGAGAGUUUAACAUGGAUGUUGUUGACUUCCACAUGGAAUGAAAUAGCUAGAGUCUCAUUAAUUCAAGGCUCUUGAUGAUGAAUUGUCCUUAUCUUCCAUUGAGACGUUCUCUCCUGCUGUUCUUAUUCUUUCUCUAUUUUUUAUCAUUAUUUGGCUGGAACUUUAUCUUGUAUAAUAAAGAAAGCUACCAGCAAAGUGUGGCACGUCA
Rosa chinensis is the source of this 1515-nucleotide long non-coding RNA. RefSeq lists it as uncharacterized. Lineage: Eukaryota; Viridiplantae; Streptophyta; Magnoliopsida; Rosales; Rosaceae. The record is from RefSeq and is a predicted model, not a curated record. The transcript is spliced from 3 exons.